This 292-nucleotide ribosomal RNA is filed under the name uncultured bacterium. RNAcentral describes it as "partial 16S ribosomal RNA". It matches the Rfam family "Bacterial small subunit ribosomal RNA", at positions 505 to 796 of the family's 1533-position model. The record is from RNAcentral.
GUGUCAGCAGCCGCGGUAAUACGUAGGACGCAAGCGUUAUCCGGAUUUAUUGGGUUUAAAGGGUGCGUAGGCGGACUUAUAAGUCAGUGGUGAAAGACUGUCGCUCAACGAUAGCAUUGCCAUUGAUACUGUAUGUCUUGAGUACAAUUGAGGUAGGCGGAAUGUGUAGUGUAGCGGUGAAAUGCUUAGAUAUUACACAGAACACCGAUUGCGAAGGCAGCUUACUAAAUUGUUACUGACGCUGAGGCACGAAAGCGUGGGGAUCAAACAGGAUUAGAAACCCUCGUAGUCC